RNAcentral lists this ribosomal RNA (199 nucleotides) under uncultured Jeotgalicoccus sp. RNAcentral's name for it is "partial 16S ribosomal RNA". It matches the Rfam family "Bacterial small subunit ribosomal RNA", at positions 336 to 526 of the family's 1533-position model. The record is from RNAcentral. Lineage: Bacteria; Bacillati; Bacillota; Bacilli; Caryophanales; Staphylococcaceae.
CUCCUACGGGAGGCAGCAGUAGGGAAUCUUCCGCAAUGGACGAAAGUCUGACGGAGCAACGCCGCGUGAGUGAUGAAGGGUUUCGGCUCGUAAAACUCUGUUGUUAAGGAAGAANACAUGAGGUAGUAACUGGCCUUGAUGAUGACGGUACUUAACCAGAAAGCCACGGCUAACUACGUGCCAGCAGCCGCGGUAAUAC